RNAcentral lists this ribosomal RNA (253 nucleotides) under uncultured bacterium. Its description in RNAcentral is "partial 16S ribosomal RNA". It matches the Rfam family "Bacterial small subunit ribosomal RNA", at positions 524 to 776 of the family's 1533-position model. The record is from RNAcentral.
UACAGAGGGUGCGAGCGUUAAUCGGAAUUACUGGGCGUAAAGGGCGCGUAGGCGGAUAAUUAAGUUAGAUGUGAAAUCCCUGGGCUUAACCUAGGAACUGCAUCUAAUACUGUUUAUCUGGAGUGCGGUAGAGGAUAGUGGAAUUUCCGGUGUAGCGGUGAAAUGCGUAGAUAUCGGAAGGAACACCAGUGGCGAAGGCGGUUCUCUGGGCCUGUACUGACGCUGAGGAGCGAAAGCGUGGGGAGCGAACAGG